GGGGAUUUAGCUCAGUGGUAGAGCGCUUGCCUAGCAAGCACAAGGCCCUGGGUUCGGUCCCCGGCUCCG
This is a non-coding RNA of Rattus norvegicus (Norway rat), 69 nucleotides long. Lineage: Eukaryota; Metazoa; Chordata; Mammalia; Rodentia; Muridae. The record is from Rfam.